RNAcentral lists this ribosomal RNA (455 nucleotides) under Desulfobulbaceae bacterium. RNAcentral describes it as "partial 23S ribosomal RNA". It matches the Rfam family "Bacterial large subunit ribosomal RNA", at positions 2474 to 2925 of the family's 2925-position model. Lineage: Bacteria; Pseudomonadati; Thermodesulfobacteriota; Desulfobulbia; Desulfobulbales; Desulfobulbaceae. The record is from RNAcentral.
AUAACAGGCUUAUCUCCCCCAAGAGUCCAUAUCGACGGGGAGGUUUGGCACCUCGAUGUCGGCUCAUCGCAUCCUGGGGCUGGAGCAGGUCCCAAGGGUUUGGCUGUUCGCCAAUUAAAGCGGUACGUGAGCUGGGUUUAAAACGUCGUGAGACAGUUUGGUCCUUAUCUGCUGCGGGCGUAGGAUAUUUGAGGAGAUCUGUUCCUAGUACGAGAGGACCGGAAUGGACGAACCACUGGUGUACCAGUUGUCCCGCCAGGGGCAUUGCUGGGUAGCUAAGUUCGGAAGGGAUAACCGCUGAAAGCAUCUAAGCGGGAAGCCCACUUCAAGAUAAGAUAUCCCGUGGGAUAACCCACCUGAAGGCUCGUUGGAGACUACAACGUUGAUAGGUCGGGAGUGGAAGUGUGGCAACACAUGGAGCUGACCGAUACUAAUAAGCCGUGCGGCUUGAUCAU